AAUAUUUGACAAUGGGGGCAACCCUGAGCCACCCAUACGGCGGGUGGGAAGAAGGUUUUCGCAUUUUAACGCACUUUAAGUUGGGAGGAAGGGCUUCAGGUUAAUACCCCGAAGUUUUUACGUUACCAACAGAAUAAGCACCGGCUAACUCUGUGCCAGCAGCCGCGGUAAUACAGAGGGUGCAAGCGUUAAUCGGAAUUACUGGGCGUAAAGCGCGCGUAGGUGGUUCAGUAAGAUGGGUGUGAAAUCCCCGGGCUUAACCUGGGAACUGCUUUCAAAACUGCAGAGCUAGAGUACGGUAGAGGGUAGUGGAAUUUCCUGUGUAGCGGUGAAAUGCGUAGAUAUAGGAAGGAACACCAGUGGCGAAGGCGACUACCUGGACUGAUACUGACACUGAGGUGCGAAAGCGUGGGGAGCAAACA
This 422-nucleotide ribosomal RNA is filed under the name uncultured bacterium. Its description in RNAcentral is "partial 16S ribosomal RNA". It matches the Rfam family "Bacterial small subunit ribosomal RNA", at positions 360 to 774 of the family's 1533-position model. The record is from RNAcentral.